CCUGGAGCUGCUGGCGGUGGCCAACGCCGCAUCCCAGCCCCACAACUGCAGCACCUCGGCCGGUAGGUGACCCCCACCUGCCCUGGGCUGGUCCCCACCACCUCUGGUGACCCCCGUGACCACCUCGUGCUCUCCCCUCUCCCAGCCGGGCUCUGCUUCACCGCCACCUCCGCCAGAGCCACCAGAGCCGCGCCGCUGGCGCUCAACGCCACCGAGCUCUGCCGGAGGCACGCGCCGGCCAACUUCAGCCGGUUCUACUUCCCGUACCGCACGGCCAACGGGCUCCUCUGCGUCACCAACUGCACCCUCAACGUCCCCGGCUCCUUCGAUUGCCACCGCGGGCUCUGCCGGCUCACCCUGGACGGGCCCCAGUGCUUCUGCCCGGACCUGCCCUGGUACCUCUCGGCCGGUGACCGCUGCCAGACCCACAUCAGCAAACUGGGGCUGGGGCUGGGCGUGGGGCUGGGGCUGGGCCUGACCAUCCUCAUCCUCCUCAUCCUCUGCAUCGUCCUCACCGUCCGCUUGGCCCGAGGGAGGCCGAAAUCACCCGGACCAAGCGCGGCCGCCGAGGAGACUUGGCCGGACGGGGGCCGCAACAGCCGCGUCACCGGGAUCUACCACGUCAACGGCAGAGGCGGCGGUGCCGGGAAAGGUCCCUACGGAUACAACACCUACAAUCCCAGCUCAGAGGUGGCCGAACCCCCGGCGUCG
RNAcentral lists this long non-coding RNA (711 nucleotides) under Chloebia gouldiae (Gouldian finch). RNAcentral describes it as "Erythrura gouldiae (Gouldian finch) lncRNA (ENSEGOG00005016124.1)". The record is from RNAcentral. Lineage: Eukaryota; Metazoa; Chordata; Aves; Passeriformes; Passeridae.